This 381-nucleotide ribosomal RNA is filed under the name uncultured archaeon. RNAcentral describes it as "bacterial SSU rRNA". It matches the Rfam family "Archaeal small subunit ribosomal RNA", at positions 345 to 727 of the family's 1478-position model. The record is from RNAcentral.
AACCUUUACAAUGCGCGAAAGCGUGAUAAGGGAAUCCCAAGUGUCUAUGCAUUGCAUAGGCUUUUGCUAAGAGUAAAUUUCUUGGCGAAUAAGUGGUGGGCAAGACUGGUGCCAGCCGCCGCGGUAACACCAGCGCCACGAGUGGGGAUCAUUUUUAUUGGGCCUAAAGCGUUCGUAGCCGGCCUGUUAAAUCUCUUGUGAAACUGUUAGGCUUAACUUAACAACGUGCAGGAGCGACUGACAGGCUUGGGACCGGGAGGAGUUGAAGGUAUGCUUGGGGGAGCAGUAAAAUGCUAUAAUCCCUUGUAGACCACCGGUGGCGAAGGCGUUCAACUAGAACGGCUCCGACGGUGAGGAACGAAAGCCAAGGGAGCGAUCCGG